RNAcentral lists this ribosomal RNA (468 nucleotides) under uncultured bacterium. RNAcentral describes it as "partial 16S ribosomal RNA". It matches the Rfam family "Bacterial small subunit ribosomal RNA", at positions 28 to 507 of the family's 1533-position model. The record is from RNAcentral.
GACGAACGCUGGCGGCGUGCUUAACACAUGCAAGUCGAACGGAAAGGCCCUGCUUUUGUGGGGUGCUCGAGUGGCGAACGGGUGAGUAACACGUGAGUAACCUGCCCUUGACUUUGGGAUAACUUCAGGAAACUGGGGCUAAUACCGGAUAGGAGCUCCUGCCGCAUGGUGGGGGUUGGAAAGUUUCGGCGGUUGGGGAUGGACUCGCGGCUUAUCAGCUUGUUGGUGGGGUAGUGGCUUACCAAGGCUUUGACGGGUAGCCGGCCUGAGAGGGUGACCGGCCACAUUGGGACUGAGAUACGGCCCAGACUCCUACGGGAGGCAGCAGUGGGGAAUAUUGCACAAUGGGCGGAAGCCUGAUGCAGCAACGCCGCGUGCGGGAUGACGGCCUUCGGGUUGUAAACCGCUUUCGCCUGUGACGAAGCGUGAGUGACGGUAAUGGGUAAAGAGGCACCGGCUAACUACGUG